UGAACGCUGGCGGCGUGCUUAACACAUGCAAGUCGAACGAGAAAGUUCUUUUCGGAGAACGAGUAGAGUGGCGCACGGGUGAGUAACACGUGGAUAAUCUACCUUCAAGCCCGGGAUAACUAUUCGAAAGGAUAGCUAAUACCUGAUAAAGUAUAUGACUUUUAAGGUUAUAUAUGAAAGACAGCCUCUGUAUAUGCUGUUGCUUGGAGAUGAGUCCGCGCACCAUUAGCUAGUUGGUGGGGUAAAGGCCUACCAAGGCAACGAUGGUUAGCUGGUCUGAGAGGAUGAUCAGCCACACUGGAACUGGAACACGGUCCAGACUCCUACGGGAGGCAGCAGUGAGGGAUUUUGCGCAAUGGGGGAAACCCUGACGCAGCAACGCCGCGUGAGUGAAGAAGGUCUUUGGGUCGUAAAGCUCUGUCAACAGGGAAGAAGUUACUAAUAUUUAAUAGAUGUUAGUAUUGACGGUACCUGUGAAGGAAGCACCGGCUAACUCC
RNAcentral lists this ribosomal RNA (497 nucleotides) under uncultured bacterium. RNAcentral describes it as "bacterial SSU rRNA". It matches the Rfam family "Bacterial small subunit ribosomal RNA", at positions 30 to 504 of the family's 1533-position model. The record is from RNAcentral.